GAUGAACGCUAGCGGCAGGGCUUAACACAUGCAAGUCGAGGGGCAGCGCGGGGUAGCAAUACCCUGGCGGCGACCGGCGAAAGGGUGAGUAACGCGUGAGCAACGUGCCCGUAUGUGGGGGAUAGUCAUUAGAAAUGAUGCGUAAUACCCCGUAACACAUGGAUCCGCAUGGUUCCAUGUUGAAAGAUUUAUUGCAUACGGAUCGGCUCGCGUGCCAUUAGCUGGAUGGCGGGGUAACGGCCCACCAUGGCGACGAUGGCUAGGGGUUCUGAGAGGAAGGUCCCCACAUUGGAACUGAGACACGGUCCAGACUCCUACGGGAGGCAGCAGUGAGGAAUAUUGGACAAUGGCCGGAAGGCUGAUCCAGCCAUGCCGCGUGCGGGAAGACGGCCCUAUGGGUUGUAAACCGCUUUUGCGGGGAGCAAUAAGAGCAACGCGUUGCUCGAUGAGAGUACCCUGCGAAUAAGCAUCGGCUAACUCCGUGCC
This 486-nucleotide ribosomal RNA is filed under the name uncultured bacterium. RNAcentral describes it as "bacterial SSU rRNA". It matches the Rfam family "Bacterial small subunit ribosomal RNA", at positions 28 to 509 of the family's 1533-position model. The record is from RNAcentral.